CCUGAAGAAAAUAUUAACCAUUUGGCCGAGGCUUGGCUUUGUUUUGGGAUUUUGCUGUGGGUUGACCAAGAGUCCAUCUGUUCAAGGUAACCGCAUAAAAAGAAAAUCUAUGGCACAAUUUGAAGUGGAUGAAUGCAUUUACCAGGCACCGUCUACAUGGUCACCAUCAUUAGGAGACUAGCCCCUCAAGACUCCACCUCUGAGGAAACUGUCCAUCAGUCAGAGGGUGCAGUGGGAAGGCUGUCUCCUGCACCCUGCCCCAGCUCAGAUAUGGACAUCUCAAUGGGUACGUUUGCUAGAUUAAAGUCAGGAACACAUUUUGGUGACAGCAUCAUUGCCACAUCUCCACAGCUGACUAAGGAAGAUAUGCCACACUUAGAGGACAGCUGGAUACUGAGUGUAAAGAUUGUAAUGUGGUUAGCCAGGUGGGCGUCAUAGAAUAUGAGUUCCCUGACUGAGAAUGUUAAUCUGGCCCAAUCAGGGAGCCCUG
This is a long non-coding RNA of Rhincodon typus (whale shark), 490 nucleotides long. RefSeq lists it as uncharacterized. Lineage: Eukaryota; Metazoa; Chordata; Chondrichthyes; Orectolobiformes; Rhincodontidae. The transcript is spliced from 3 exons. The record is from RefSeq and is a predicted model, not a curated record.